AUUGAACGCUGGCGGCAGGCCUAACACAUGCAAGUCGAGCGGAUGACGGGAGCUUGCUCCUUGAUUCAGCGGCGGACGGGUGAGUAAUGCCUAGGAAUCUGCCUGGUAGUGGGGGACAACGUUUCGAAAGGAACGCUAAUACCGCAUACGUCCUACGGGAGAAAGCAGGGGACCUUCGGGCCUUGCGCUAUCAGAUGAGCCUAGGUCGGAUUAGCUAGUUGGUGGGGUAAUGGCUCACCAAGGCGACGAUCCGUAACUGGUCUGAGAGGAUGAACAGUCACACUGGAACUGAGCCACGGUCCAGACGCCUACGGGAGGGAGCAGUGGGGAAUCUUGGAAAGUGGGCGAAAGCCUGAUCCAGCCAUGCCGAGUGUGUGAAGAAGGUCUUCGGAUUGUAAAGCACUUUAAGUUGGGAGGAAGGGCAGUAAGUUAAUACCUUGCUGUUUUGACGUUACCGACAGAAUAAGCACCGGCUAACUCUGUGCCAGCAGCCGCCGUAA
RNAcentral lists this ribosomal RNA (500 nucleotides) under uncultured bacterium. Its description in RNAcentral is "partial 16S ribosomal RNA". It matches the Rfam family "Bacterial small subunit ribosomal RNA", at positions 30 to 523 of the family's 1533-position model. The record is from RNAcentral.